AUUGAACGCUGGCGGCAGGCCUAACACAUGCAAGUCGAGCGGAGCGGCUGACGGGUUAGUAAUGCCUAGGAAUCUGCAUGUGAGUGGGGGAGAACGUCCGGAAACGGGCGCUAAUGCCGACUACUAUCAGAUGCGCCUCGGUCGGAUUAGCUAGUUGGUGGGGUAAGGGCCUACCAAGGCGACGAUCCGUAACUGGUCUGAGAGGAUGAUCAGUCACACUGGAACUGAGACACGGUCCAGACUCCGACGGGAGGCAGCAGUGGGGAAUAUUGGACAAUGGGCGAAAGCCUGAUCCAGCCAUGCCGCGUGUGUGAAGAAGGUCUUCGGAUUGUAAAGCACUUUAAGUUGGGAGGCGUUACCAACAGAAUAAGCACCGGCUAACUUCGUGCCAGCAGCCGCGGUAAUUC
Molecule: ribosomal RNA, 407 nt
Filed under: uncultured bacterium
Lineage: Bacteria
Description: partial 16S ribosomal RNA
Rfam family: Bacterial small subunit ribosomal RNA
Source: RNAcentral